Molecule: ribosomal RNA, 475 nt
Filed under: uncultured bacterium
Lineage: Bacteria
Description: partial 16S ribosomal RNA
Rfam family: Bacterial small subunit ribosomal RNA
Source: RNAcentral
GAUGAACGCUGGCGGCGCGCCUAACACAUGCAAGUCGAACGGCACCCCUCUCCGGAGGGAAGCGAGUGGCGAACGGCUGAGUAACACGUGGGGAACCUGCCCCCUCCCCCGGGAUAGCCGCCCGAAAGGACGGGUAAUACCGGAUACCCCGGGGUGCCGCAUGGCACCCCGGCUAAAGCCACGGCGGGAGGGGAUGGCUCCGCGGCCCAUCAGGUAGACGGCGGGGUGACGGCCCACCGUGCCGACAACGGGUAGCCGGGUUGAGAGACCGCCCGGCCAGAUUGGGACUGAGACACGGCCCAGACUCCUACGGGAGGCAGCAGUGGGGAAUCUUGCGCAAUGGGGGGAACCCUGACGCAGCGACGCCGCGUGCGGGACGGAGGCCUUCGGGUCGUAAACCGCUUUCAGCAGGGAAGAGUCAAGACUGUACCUGCAGAAGAAGCCCCGGCUAACUACGUGCCAGCAGCCGCCGUAA